Non-coding RNA from Tachysurus fulvidraco (yellow catfish), 2037 nucleotides. NCBI's taxonomy places the organism in Eukaryota, Metazoa, Chordata, Actinopteri, Siluriformes, Bagridae. The record is from the annotation of a RefSeq genome assembly.
CCCACUGUUUACCUCCUGCUGAUUUUCUGCCGCAGUUCCUGACUGCAAUUAUAUAUGUACACCUCCCUACUCUGACAUCUUUUUUAGGCUAAAUGCUGGUGGUGGCAGGGAAGUGGUGCUGUUGACCAGAACUCGAGCAGCUCAGUCCCACCCCAGGAAAUGACAUCAUUACUUUAUAAAUGAGAUUCAUGUUCUAAACUUGUAUUUCUGCAGAAACAGGCACAAUAAAGGCUGCUGAACUGAAAGCAAACUUUUAUAUAUUUCAUGACAAAAAUGUUUAUUAUUAUAUACAUUUAUGCAGUUCUCUUGUCUUUAGUCACAGAAGCUGUUCUGGGAGUGACACUGGAGCAAAAAGAUCACUUGAAGACAAAAGGUGUGACCAAAACUGUGUAUAUCAGCUGCAAAGUGACCGGAUUAAGAACUAGAUAUGUCCACUGGUACCAAGAGAAAGACGGUGAAGCUCUCACAAGGAUCCUAUACGUAGAAAGUGGAAGAUCACCAGUUGAGGAUCCUAACCAUCCUGAAGCAAAGGACUUCAGUGUGAAGGAAGAAAAGUCUGAUAAUUAUGACUUGAAGAUAGCAGCCCUGAAGAAAAGUCACUCAGCAGUGUAUUACUGUGCCAGCUGGGAGAGCGGUGAUGCACAGUGAAUGAAUUAAUUACAGUGUAAACAAAAAACCUUACGUUUCGUUACAACCACAACAGAAAAAGUGUGUGUGGAGUAGUAAAGUUUGUUAAGCUAACUCUUACAUUAGAUGUUAACCAGCUAGGCAAAAACAAACCUUUACCAUUUCAAUAAUAUCAGCAAACCAAAGCAUUUUUGGUCUUUAUUUCUAUUUGUUACAUAAAUAGCAGUUUCUAUUUUAUUAUGUCUAGACGCCCAUGUGAUGGUCUGAUACAUAAACAUUUUAAACGACCUCUUCUCCUGCUUGUCAUCACCACCUCCUGCAAACUCCCGGUAAUCCAACAAUCAAUUAAUUCAUGGACACAUGCAGUAUGUGACAACUAAUGGCUGCAAAUGUGCUUUGUUGCACUUCUUGCAUUAUGCAAUGACCUGAAACACUCAGCUAAACAAUUGUGAUAAGUGAUACACAAAUGGUUAUGAGGCAGAGAUAAAUUCCAACUCCAACAUCUACUUACAUGCCAACAGUGUCCAGUAACUAUACUUACUGACUAACUAACACCACUUCAGCUCUUUCUAUCUUCUAGAGCAUGUUUACUACCAGAAUUUUCCAAAUAUGCCAAAGACCACAAAGAUGACCUUCUGACGUAUAUGAAGAAUAUCAGAUUUUCUAACUGCCAAUUCAUUGCACAAGAACUUUUCAAAAGCUUUGCUUGGCAAAUAUAGCCAAGCUGGAGACAAGACAUGAAUGCAAACACCUCCUGUAACUAAGGACACACAGGAAGUUAGCACUGUGUCCUUAUGAAACAAAGAAGAGACAAACAAAAUGAAAGUCGACAACUGUUAACAUUUCUCGUGUCACAUAACAUUUGUUCAUAUAUACAUUGAAUAACAUGGGAUAUGGGUAAUAUGUACAGACAACAUACGUGAGUACAUAUACAUCCAUUUGUCAUAACCCUUUUUACAUAAAGGCGAUACCUGCACUGAAACAUAUUACAUAUAGAAAAUUAAUGAAUGAACCGAAAUAACUCUCAUUUUACAAAAGCAAAACUAAUUAGCAUCGUGUCAUGUGUUAAGCAUGUGCAGCUUCAAUAUGGUGACUGAACAGUUAAUACAACAGGAACACGGUUACUAUUAAAACACAAAAAAAUACAUAUGCAUACAUGUAUACACACACACAUAUAUACAUACACAUACAUACAUACAUACAUACAUACAUACAUACAUACAUACAUACAAAUGAACGUAAAUAACUCGGGGAAUAUUUAUAUUUAAUUAAUAUUUAUUUAUUUUUAAAAUUGUGAGUGUCUGUUAUCCAUUACAAAUGCUAUGAACCAUUUCUUAACCCGUUACAUAGGCAACUUACAGAAUGCUGUGAAUAGUAACACUUUACAGCAAUAGAUGUCCGAUCUGCAUG